UGAAGUAUAGCCAAGUGGGUGAAGGGCCUCCGGUUUUUGGUGCGGAUAAUCAAAGGUUCGAAUUCCUUUUACUUCAA
Molecule: transfer RNA, 77 nt
Filed under: Pythium insidiosum
Lineage: Eukaryota; Oomycota; Peronosporomycetes; Pythiales; Pythiaceae
Description: tRNA-Gln
Rfam family: tRNA
About the family: Transfer RNA (tRNA) molecules are approximately 80 nucleotides in length.
Source: RNAcentral